The submitters of this non-coding RNA (70 nucleotides) gave its source as unclassified sequences. The record is from Rfam.
GGGGACCUUCGGGGCCCUUCAUAACACCGACGGGCCGGCAACGGUCCGCGAAGCAGACGGAAGACAGAAA